UACGUAGGGGGCUAGCGUUGUCCGGAAUCAUUGGGCGUAAAGAGCGUGUAGGCGGCCCGGUAAGUCCGCUGUGAAAGUCGGGGGCUCAACCCUCGAAUGCCGGUGGAUACUGUCGGGCUAGAGUGCGGAAGAGGCGAGUGGAAUUCCUGGUGUAGCGGUGAAAUGCGCAGAUAUCAGGAGGAACACCGAUUGCGAAGGCAGGUCACUGGGCCGCAACUGACGCUGAGGAGCGAAAGCAUGGGGAGCGAACAGG
Molecule: ribosomal RNA, 253 nt
Filed under: uncultured bacterium
Lineage: Bacteria
Description: partial 16S ribosomal RNA
Rfam family: Bacterial small subunit ribosomal RNA
Source: RNAcentral